AUUGAACGCUGGCGGCAGGCCUAACACAUGCAAGUCGAACGAGUGGCGGACGGGUCAGUAUUGCCCGGGAAACUGCCCGAUGGCGGGGGAUAACUACUGGAAACGGUACCUAAUAUCGCAUACCACCAGAUGUCCCCAGAUGGGUUGAGCUAGGUGGUGGGGUAACGGCUAACCAGGCCGAGGAUCCCUAGCUGGUCUGCGAGGAUGACCAGCCACACUGGAACGGAGACACGGUCCAGAGUCCUACGGGAGGCAGCAGUGGGGAAUUGUGCACAAUGGGCGAAAGCCUGAUGCAGCCAGGCCGCGUGUAUGACGAAGGCCUUCGGGUUGUAAAGUACUUUCAGCGGGGAGGCGUUACCCGCAGAAGAAGCACCGGCUAACUCCGUGCCAGCAGCCGCGGUAAUAC
Molecule: ribosomal RNA, 406 nt
Filed under: uncultured bacterium
Lineage: Bacteria
Description: partial 16S ribosomal RNA
Rfam family: Bacterial small subunit ribosomal RNA
Source: RNAcentral